CCAUCCUACAAAGGAACCAGCAGAAACUGAUUCAUUCAGGUUCAAAUAUGAUCCUCUCACACAUCUUAUGGUUGCAAUGACACAUCAUAAAUGUUAUAUCUACACAUUGAUGGGUACUGAAUCAACUGAUGUUCAUACAUCUCAUGGUCUUCAUUUACUUGAGACAAAACUUAUUACUAUGGUAGAUGACAGUUCUAUGACAUACAGCUCCAUGUCGCAUGAUGAAGUCACAGCCGCAAGUAAAUUAUUUGCCAGAAGUUGCAACAAGAGCGGAAUGACCACAUUCAAACUAAAUUAAAAGUACUUUACGGUGCGUUAUUUUUUCGUCUUGCAAUGAUUUGAAGGUCGUAAGAUCCAUCACUAACUAUAAUGAUGACCGUAAGGUACAUCA
This is a long non-coding RNA of Mytilus californianus (California mussel), 391 nucleotides long. RefSeq lists it as uncharacterized. The record is from RefSeq and is a predicted model, not a curated record. Lineage: Eukaryota; Metazoa; Mollusca; Bivalvia; Mytilida; Mytilidae. The transcript has 3 exons.